This 468-nucleotide ribosomal RNA is filed under the name uncultured bacterium. RNAcentral's name for it is "partial 16S ribosomal RNA". It matches the Rfam family "Bacterial small subunit ribosomal RNA", at positions 28 to 507 of the family's 1533-position model. The record is from RNAcentral.
GACGAACGCUGGCGGCGUGCUUAACACAUGCAAGUCGAACGGAAAGGCCCUGCUUUUGUGGGGUGCUCGAGUGGCGAACGGGUGAGUAACACGUGAGUAACCUGCCCUUGACUUUGGGAUAACUUCAGGAAACUGGGGCUAAUACCGGAUAGGAGCUCCUGCUGCAUGGUGGGGGUUGGAAAGUUUCGGCGGUUGGGGAUGGACUCGCGGCUUAUCAGCUUGUUGGUGGGGUAGUGGCUUACCAAGGCUUUGACGGGUAGCCGGCCUGCGAGGGUGACCGGCCACAUUGGGACUGAGAUGCGGCCCAGACUCCUACGGGAGGCAGCAGUGGGGAAUAUUGCACAAUGGGCGGAAGCCUGAUGCAGCAACGCCGCGUGCGGGAUGACGGCCUGCGGGUUGUAAACCGCUUUCGCCUGUGACGAAGCGUGAGUGACGGUAAUGGGUAAAGAAGCACCGGCUAACUACGUG